Molecule: non-coding RNA, 494 nt
Organism: Microcebus murinus (gray mouse lemur)
Lineage: Eukaryota; Metazoa; Chordata; Mammalia; Primates; Cheirogaleidae
Source: the annotation of a RefSeq genome assembly
UCACAGUGCAGAGCCCUGGAAUUGAAGCGGAAGAAGAUACUUUUCCUCCAGAGGAAGAAGCAAACAUGUUGCUCUGCAGCCUGCUGAAGGUGGUCACAGCUUCAAUGUGGCUAGGAUCUGGUAUGGCCCAGAAGGUAACCCAGUCCCAACCAGCAAUGUGGGUGCAGGAGAAGGAGGCUGUGACCCUGGACUGCACAUACGACACCAGCACAAGUGUGGCUAGUUAUGCUCUAUUAUGGUACAAGCAGCCCAGCAGUGGGGAGAUGAUUUUGCUUAUUCAUCAGGACUCCUAUAAAGAGCAAAAUGCAACAGACGGUCGCUACGCAUUGAAUUUCCAGAAGGCCAGCAAAAGCAUCAAGCUUGUCAUCUCGGCUUCACAAGUCGGGGACUCAGCGAUCUAUUUCUGUGCCCUGAAUCAGCCCACAGUGAGAGGAUUGCUGGAGGGAGGUGUACAAAAACCCCAUGGUUCUAUUUGUGACAUCCACCUGCUGUAG